RNAcentral lists this ribosomal RNA (496 nucleotides) under uncultured bacterium. RNAcentral's name for it is "partial 16S ribosomal RNA". It matches the Rfam family "Bacterial small subunit ribosomal RNA", at positions 899 to 1397 of the family's 1533-position model. The record is from RNAcentral.
ACUCAAAUGAAUUGACGGGGACCCGCACAACCAGUGGAGCGUGUGGUUCAAUUUGAGACGAAGCAAAAAACCUCACCAGGGAUUGACAUGUAUUCGUUUAGUCCCGAUGAAAGUUGGGAUGAUCCCGCGAAAGCGGGAUGAUUACACAGGUGUUGCAUGGCUGUCGUCAGCUCGUGCCGUGAGGUGUUCCCUUAAGUGGGGAAACGAGUGCAACCCCCAUUCUAUGUUAAAUAUUCAUAGAAGACUGCCCCUGCAUUGCAGGGGAGGAAGGAGGGGCAGAUGUCAAGUCAGCAUGACCCUUAUACCCUGGGCCACACACACCCUACAAUGGCGAAAAACAACGGGUUGCAAACCGGUAACGGCAAGCUAAUCCCUCAAAUUUCGCCUCAGUUCAGAUUGGGGUCUGAAACCCGACCCCAUGAAGUCGGAAUUGGUAGUAAUCGCGGAUCAGCAGGCCGCGGUGAAUACGUUCUCGGGUCUUGUACACACCGCCCGU